ACCUACUUAACUCAGCGGUUAGAGUAUUACUUUCAUACAGCGAGAGUCAUUGGUUCAAAUCCAAUAGUAGGUA
This 73-nucleotide transfer RNA is filed under the name Gossypium hirsutum (cotton). It matches the Rfam family "tRNA". From Rfam's summary of the family: Transfer RNA (tRNA) molecules are approximately 80 nucleotides in length. Lineage: Eukaryota; Viridiplantae; Streptophyta; Magnoliopsida; Malvales; Malvaceae. The record is from Rfam by way of RNAcentral. RNAcentral also lists the same sequence under 1 other name.